This 468-nucleotide ribosomal RNA is filed under the name uncultured bacterium. Its description in RNAcentral is "partial 16S ribosomal RNA". It matches the Rfam family "Bacterial small subunit ribosomal RNA", at positions 28 to 507 of the family's 1533-position model. The record is from RNAcentral.
GACGAACGCUGGCGGCGUGCUUAACACAUGCAAGUCGAACGGAAAGGCCCUGCUUUUGUGGGGUGCUCGGGUGGCGAACGGGUGAGUAACACGUGAGUAACCUGCCCUUGACUUUGGGAUAACUUCAGGAAACUGGGGCUAAUACCGGAUAGGAGCUCCUGCUGCAUGGUGGGGGUUGGAAAGUUUCGGCGGGUGGGGAUGGACUCGCGGCUUAUCAGCUUGUUGGUGGGGUAGUGGCUUACCAAGGCUUUGACGGGUAGCCGGCCUGAGAGGGUGAACGGCCACAUUGGGACUGAGAUACGGCCCAGACUCCUACGGGAGGCAGCAGUGGGGAAUAUUGCACAAUGGGCGGAAGCCUGAUGCAGCAACGCCGCGUGCGGGAUGACGGCCUUCGGGUUGUAAACCGCUUUCGCCUGUGACGAAGCGUGAGUGACGGUAAUGAGUAAAGAAGCACCGGCUAACUACGUG